AGUGAGCGUCUAUUCUACCCAGAAUUUAGCUUUGUAAUGGUUGUUCUCCCUCUAUGCAUUCUUACUUCCUCAUUUGGAUUUUGGAAUUGCAACAAACUUAAUAAAGUUCAUUAGUUGUUAACCCUGUUUUUUCUUACUUAAAUGGUUUAGUUACAUAGGAGACAUCCAUUAAUAUCUAUUAGUUUGUCAGGCUUUAUGUUGCAUUGCUUAUUUUGCUACUAAGCAUCCGUAACUUUUCUUUUGCAUAAAGUUCUUGUUCAUUGUCCAAAAUGCAGGGCAGCAGUGGAAGACCUGGCUU
Molecule: unclassified non-coding RNA, 298 nt
Filed under: Hevea brasiliensis (rubber tree)
Lineage: Eukaryota; Viridiplantae; Streptophyta; Magnoliopsida; Malpighiales; Euphorbiaceae
Source: RNAcentral